GAUGAACGCUGGCGGCGUGCCUAAUACAUGCAAGUCGAGCGAACAGACGAGGAGCUUGCUCCUCUGACGUUAGCGGCGGACGGGUGAGUAACACGUGGAUAACCUACCUAUAAGACUGGGAUAACUUCGGGAAACCGGAGCUAAUACCGGAUAAUAUAUUGAACCGCAUGGUUCAAUAGUGAAAGACGGUUUUGCUGUCACUUAUAGAUGGAUCCGCGCCGCAUUAGCUAGUUGGUAAGGCAACGGCUUACCAAGGCAACGAUGCGUAGCCGACCUGAGAGGGUGAUCGGCCACACUGGAACUGAGACACGGUCCAGACUCCUACGGGAGGCAGCAGUAGGGAAUCUUCCGCAAUGGGCGAAAGCCUGACGGAGCAACGCCGCGUGAGUGAUGAAGGUCUUCGGAUCGUAAAACUCUGUUAUUAGGGAAGAACAAAUGUGUAAGAAACUAUGCACGUCUUGACGGUACCUAAUCAGAAAGCCACGGCUAACUACGUG
Molecule: ribosomal RNA, 497 nt
Filed under: uncultured bacterium
Lineage: Bacteria
Description: partial 16S ribosomal RNA
Rfam family: Bacterial small subunit ribosomal RNA
Source: RNAcentral